This 229-nucleotide ribosomal RNA is filed under the name uncultured bacterium. RNAcentral describes it as "partial 16S ribosomal RNA". It matches the Rfam family "Bacterial small subunit ribosomal RNA", at positions 568 to 796 of the family's 1533-position model. The record is from RNAcentral.
UCCGUAGGCGGCAUGACAAGUCUGGUGUGAAAUAUCUCGGCUCAACCGAGAAAACGCACUGGAAACUAUCAAGCUUGAGUAUCGGAGGGGAAGCUAGAAUUCCUGGUGUAGGGGUGAAAUCUGUAGAUAUCAGGAAGAAUACCGGUGGCGAAGGCGAGCUUCUGGCCAGAUACUGACGCUGAGAUGCGAAAGCGUGGGGAGCGAACAGGAUUAGAUACCCUGGUAGUCC